CUAGGCGACAAGCGGAUCGCUACCAACCACCGCUUCACUUCUCUCCCAGAGAAAAAAAAACCGUCUUAUCUCGAUCCCUUUCUUCCUCGACAGUGGUGUAGAAGGAGAGGAGCACCGGCGUCCACACCGGGGAGGUCGAAGGGGAGGCGGUAGAUUGGAGGAGCCCAGCGAGCCGGUCGGCCGGCGCCAUACAGAAGCAGCGCUGCCGUCUCCUUUCCCCCACUUUUUUAGGAGCUGGAUCUGAGGUGGCCAACCGCCGCUGUCGCCGCCGCCCCGUCGGGAAAAGGCCGCCAUGUAGAUCACGCAGCAGGCCGGUCCACCCGCUAAAAUCUGUUGAUUUUGCCCUUCGUUGUAUCUUCUGCACCAUCUGCUUCUCUAUUCACCCGCCAAACAAAUGAGUAUGUGCCAUGCUUUGCAGGAAAUUCAUUGAACAUAUGUACCUCUUCUCCUGAAGCCGAUGCUGCCAUGCCUAUGAAUCGGAUAUGACCGAUGCUUUGUCAAGGGCUCAUAUGAGAGAAGAAAAGGAGGCUGGAGAUGCAGAGAAAGAAGCUCUAAGCUCAACAAAGGCAUCAGGAUGAAAACGUCGGCAUUGGAGUCGUGGCCGUGGCAGGGAAGGCGAACCCAGCGCAGCUCUGCCAGUGGCUCAAGAGGAAGAUAAGCAAGGAUGUCAAGAUUUUCCGCCAUUGUCCACACGGGCUGAGAAUUGUAAUAAGCAGGGCUAGCCGUGUGGGGUUAAGGUGCUUGCCGGCGGCGACCUGCGUGGCUCUCAGCCUGCAUCCUCGCUGAACUCAACACCAACUAUCGCGCGCCUGCGAUGUGACUGCUGUUGCAACAACGACGGCCAACGGCUAUUGAACGACGAGGAUGCCCUUCGGGGUUAUAGCAUGCAAAGCAAAGCAGUUGCUCGAUCCUCACAGCCAAUAUAUCUCCGUGUAGAAGCAGAAGAAGCAACAAUUGAUUCGUAAGCAGCAAUUUUAUCUGUUUCAUUCCUUUGUAUUUUUGCCCUCUGUUUCUGCUGAAUGUAUGUAUCACUUUUUUCAGAUAUAUUGAUCUUCACAUUCUUAGUUGGCAUCCAUAGUGGUUUUAGUUGUACACAUAGCCGUUCUCAGUUGGAUACGACAAUUAGAAAAUUGCACAACACUAAACCUUUUUCCUACGGCGGUGAAAGUGGAACGGUAUACAUUGAACUGAAUACACAUGGCGUUCAUUUUUUUGGCAUUUAUAGUAAUUCUUGUUGCACACAUAGUUGUUUUCGUCGGAGACGAUCAUUACUAUAGUAGUUGUAGUUGCACAUACAGUUGUUCUCAGUUGGAUCCUAUUAUUGAAAAAUUGCACACAUGGCAAUCAUUUUUUAUUGGCAUCUAUAGUAGUUUUAGUUGCACACAUAGUUGUUUUCAGUUGGACACGAUUAUUGGGAAGUUACACACACGGUGAUCAUUUUUGUUAGCAUCUAUAGUAGUUCUAAUUGCACACAUAUUUGUUCUCAAUUGGAUACGAUCAUUGGAAAGUUGCACACACGGCGACCAUUUUUUGUUGGCAUCUAUAGUACUUCUAGAUAUUAUGCACAUAAUUGUUCUUAGUUAGAUACGGUCAUUCGGAAGUUACACACACGGUGAUCAUUUUUUGUUGGCAUCUACAGUAGUUCUAGUUGCACACAUAGUUGUUUUUAGUUGGACACGAUCAUUGGAAAGUUGCACACACGGCGAUCAUUUUUGGGUGGCAUCUAUAGUAGUUCUAGUUGCACACAUAGUUGUUUUCAGUUGGAUACGGUCAUUGGAAAGUUGCACACACGGCAAUCAUUUUUUGUUGGCAUCUAUAAUAGUUCUAGUUGCACACAUAGUUGUUUUCAGUUGGACACGGUCAUUAGAAGUAGUUGGCAGGGGCAAUAGAAGUAGUUGCACAGAAUCUGCUAGUCAAAACUUCACGGUGGCGAAAGAUUCCUCUUAGUAAAACUGCAAAGAAGAAAGGCGCGCGCGGAGGCAGUAUCCAAAGGGGUAGAUGCCACAUCUUCUGCAGCAGCCGCUGUGGUAACAUAAAGUUCCAUCAGGAAUAUUUUUUUACUCCACAUACAGGCAGCCAAGUGUAUGAAUUUUCAUACAUGAUUGCAGAAGGACUAAUUAAGCAUUGGCAUGCUCAACUUUCCCAGUUGCUCAACGUUGCCAUCUUCAAGUUUUUUAGAAUUGUCCCAAGAGUAUGUAACGACUUGGCAUUCUCAGACUUUCUAGUUGCAGAAUAGUAUCUAAUUAGUUGGCAACCUCAGUAAUUCUAGUUGCACAACAAUAUAUAACUAGUUGACAUCCUCAUCUUUUCUAGUUGCACAAAAACUCAGAUUAGUCCCAUCUUAAAAAAAUUGAGGAUUUCCCUACAGUAUGUAACGACUUGGCACCCUCAGGCUUUCUAGUUGCAGAAGAGUAUCUAUUUAGUUGGCACCCUCGGCAAUUCUAAUUGGACAACAUUAUCCAAGUAGUUGACAUCCUCAGCCUCUCUAGUUGCAUAAGAAUUCAGAUUUAUCCCAUCUUAAAAUUUUUGAGGAUUGCCCAACGGUAUCUAAUCACUUGGCACCCUCAGGAUUUCUAGUUGCAGAAGAGUAUCUAUUUAGUUGGCACCCUCUACAAUUCUAGUUGGACAACAUUAUUCAAGUAGUUGUCAUCCUCAGCCUCUCUAGUUGCACAAGAAUAUCUCAUUAGUUGGCAUCAUCAGCAUUUCUAGUCGCACAAGAAUUUCUCAUUAGUUGUCAUCACCAGCAUUUCUAGUUGCAGAACAAACAUGAUAUCAAGUUGCCAUCCUCAACAUUUUAAUCUAGUUUUCCAGAGAACAAAUAUUUGUAUGUAAUGAUAACUAAUCACCUUUGCCUUUUUUUGCAAACCGCGAGAUAUUGUUCAAGGAAAUGAGAGUAAUGAAGCAGAUAAUGUUGAACGAUAGUCACAAGCUGGCUACCUGAUGGAGACUACUCUGGAUACCUGAUGUUUGAGUUGGAUAGAAUACCUGUUUUAGUUGGCUAUAAUACUCUGGAUACCUGAUGCAUUUUUUUCACCCCUGGAUAUGUUUGUUUGCAGACAUCCAUGUGAAAGUUGGUUUCAAACAAUGGUUUUCUUGCACAGGGAACUGAAUUUCUUAUGCUUUUACUUGAUCUUCCUUCUCUGCUCAAAAUCAUGGAGUUUUUUUUACUUGAUUUGGGAGAUUCAGAGGGAAAGGACAAGGGGGAUAGUCAACAAGGUUUGGACAUGGGAGAGGAGAAGGAUUUCUUACCUUGGCAUUGCUUG
Molecule: ribosomal RNA, 3263 nt
Filed under: Triticum aestivum (bread wheat)
Lineage: Eukaryota; Viridiplantae; Streptophyta; Magnoliopsida; Poales; Poaceae
Description: partial small subunit ribosomal RNA
Source: RNAcentral